RNAcentral lists this transfer RNA (72 nucleotides) under Dipodomys ordii (Ord's kangaroo rat). It matches the Rfam family "tRNA". From Rfam's summary of the family: Transfer RNA (tRNA) molecules are approximately 80 nucleotides in length. Lineage: Eukaryota; Metazoa; Chordata; Mammalia; Rodentia; Heteromyidae. The record is from Rfam by way of RNAcentral.
GAGGGUAUAGCUCAGCAAUAGAGCAUUUUCCUAGCAAGCACAAGGCCCUGAGUUCAAAUCCCACUACCAUCA